Equus asinus (donkey) is the source of this 1710-nucleotide long non-coding RNA. The record is from Ensembl. Lineage: Eukaryota; Metazoa; Chordata; Mammalia; Perissodactyla; Equidae.
CCAUCAUUUAUCUUAAAAAUCUCUUAUAGUAGAACGCAUAGGUUAUUUUCAACUUUUUACUAAAUUAAAUAUUCACAUUACAGUAAUAACAGAUAAAUCUAUGUAGACAUUGACGAUGACUCCGUAGGCUAAGUUCUGAAAAGUGGAAGUUACGGAUCACAGACUUUAUUAAGUAGUAGGGCCAAACUGGUCCCCUAAAAGGGCAUAUUCUUGCCAGCGUGGAGACCCACCCUUGCAGAGAAUAGGUGUUAGCAAUUACCUGAUGUUUGCUAAUUUGGUUGGGAGAGAUACAAUAUUUUAAUUUCAUUAAUUUGAUCAUUUGUGAGAAUAAACUUUUUUUCCGUAGGUUAAUUGAGUAUUUAUUUCUGUAUAUUCUUUGUGUAUUGUCUAUCAUGUUCUUUGCUCAUUUUUUCCCUGGAACAUGUGUCUUUUUCUAUUGAUCUUUAUCUAUUAAUUGUAUUGUCUUUGUCAUUAAAUUAUCCUUCCAGUUUGUUGUUUGCUUUUAAAUAUAAUUUAUGCAAUAAAUUCCUUCUUAAAUCUAAAUCUGUCUUGUCCCUUACGGAGUCUACUUUAGCAUGUACACAUAAAGGAACUUAGUAUCUUUAAUAACUUUUAUCAGAGUCCUUUAUUGUUCCUCAAUCAAUUCCUCGCUAUUUCAUUAUAUAACUUUUUAAAAGUCAUGAGUUAAGUCAUUUUUUUUUAAGAUUUUAUUUUUUUCCUUUUUCUCCCCAAAGCCCCCCGGUACAUAGUUGUAUAUUCUUCGUUGUGGGUCCUUCCAGUUGUGGGAUGUGGGACGCUGCCUCAGCGUGGUUUGAUGAGCAGUGCCAUGUCCGUGCCCAGGAUUCCAACCAAGGAAACACUGGGCCGCCUGCAGCGAGCGCGCGAACUUAACCACUCCGCCACAGGGCCAGCCCUAAAUCAUUUUUGAAAAUCGUGAGUUACAUUUAGGUUUUACACACCUAUUCAGUUCAGUCUAACAGAUUUUUUCCGCAUUCUUCCUACUUUCAGUCUAGCACAGUGUUAGGAGCUAGAGAUAAGAGAAAACUAAUCCAUGAGAGAGGGCUAAUCCAGGAGAGAAGAUAAUCCAGGAGAAAGGGCGAUCCAGGAGAGAGGGCGAUCCAGGAGAGAGGGCGAUCCAGGAGAGAAGGUGAUCCAGGCGAGAGGGCGAUCCAGGAGAGAGGGCAAUCCAGGAGAGAGGGCGAUCCAGGAGAGAAGGUGAUCCAGGAGAGAGGGUGAUCCAGGAGAGAAGGCGAUCCAGGAGAGAGGGCGAUCCAGGAGAGAGGGCGAUCCAGGCGAGAGGGCGAUCCAGGAGAGAGGGCGAUCCAGGAGAGAGGGCGAUCCAGGAGAGAGGGCGAUCCAGGAGAGAGGGCGAUCCAGGAGAGAGGGCGAUCCAGGCGAGAGGGCGAUCCAGGCGAGAGGGCGAUCCAGGCGAGAAGGUGAUCCAGGAGAGAGGGUGAUCCAGGAGAGAGGGCGAUCCAGGAAAGAGGGCGAUCCAGGAGAGAGGGCGAUCCAGGAGAGAGGGUGAUCCAGGAGAGCGAGUGAUCCAGGAGAGAGGGUGAUCCAGGAGAGAGGGUGAUCCAGGAGAGUGGGUGAUCCAGGAGAGAAGAUGAUCCAGGAGAGAGGGUGAUCCAGGAGAGAGGGCGAUCCAGGAGAGAGGGUGAUCCAGGAGAGAAGGUGAUCCAGGAGAGAAGAUGAUCCAGGAGAAAGAGG